CCUACGGGAGGCAGCAGUAGGGAAUCUUCCGCAAUGGACGAAAGUCUGACGGAGCAACGCCGCGUGAGUGACGAAGGUUUUCGGAUCGUAAAACUCUGUUGUGAGGGAAGAACAAGUACCAACUAACUACUGGUACCUUGACGGUACCUCACCAGAAAGCCACGGCUAACUACGUGCCAGCAGCCGCGGUAAU
RNAcentral lists this ribosomal RNA (193 nucleotides) under uncultured microorganism. RNAcentral's name for it is "partial 16S ribosomal RNA". It matches the Rfam family "Bacterial small subunit ribosomal RNA", at positions 338 to 524 of the family's 1533-position model. The record is from RNAcentral.